AGACAGUGCCUGAUGCCCUGGAGCCCUGUAGACAUGGCCGCUGGCCUCGAGAGUCCAUUAAACUUGGCUUUGGUAGCUGUCGCAGGAUCGAAACCUCUGAAAUAUCUUGUCUACUUACUAAAGGUUUGAACCCAUAAGGAGCCAUAGACUUAAUGGCCCUACCAGGAUUCUGUAUCCCACUUGCACCUGAAGGCCUGAAAUUACAUGCUCUGAGAUAGAGGAAAAGACAAAGAGAAAGAGAGAAGCAUCAUUGUGACAGAGAAACAUCCAUCACCCUUACACGCCCUGAGUGGAGAUCCAACCCUCGACCUACAAAUGUGCCCUCACCAGGGCAGUGAAGCAAAGGAGUGAUUUAGUCAGAUUGGGGCCAUGAGGAGUUUGCUAGGAUCAAAGAUCCUGAAGACCCCUGAGUAACCUCUGAUGAUCGUUGCUGUGAAGAAAAGCCUCUCUGAGGAAGUAACAUUUAAACUGAAACCUGAAUGGGGAUCAGAAGCCAAAUGUACAAGAAGACAUGAGGCAGGAGUAACAGAUGUAAAGACCAUGAAGCAGAAAUGAGCUGUGUGUGUGUGUGUGUGUGUGUGUGUGUGUGUGUAUAAUUACAUUUGUUUUUAGAAAGAGGGGAAGGGAUGGACAAAGAGAGGGAGAAAAACAUCGAUGUGUGAGAGAUACAUUGAUCUGUUGCCUCUUGUGGUCCCCAACUAGAGACCUGGUCCACAACUCAGGCAUGUGCCCAGACUGGGAAUCAAACUGGUGACCCUUUGGUUCUCAGGCCACUACUCAAUCCACUGAGCCACACAGGCCAGGGUGAGCCUAGUAUAAUUAAGAAAUGGAAAGAAGCCAAUGUGGCUGAAGUCUUGGGAGUAGACGUAAGCACAGGUUUUAAUGCAUGCAAGGACUUAAUCCAGUUGGAAAAGGAAGCCAUCAGAGUUUUAGGCACCAUCUCCUUCCAAAUCCAUCCUCUUAAAUCUUUGAAAUUUAUCUGCUUCUCUCCACCAUCUUGAUUGGUCUAUUUUAAUAAGAUAAAAGUUGGAACAGGAUUUGGAAUAAGGAAAGGUUUUUCACUUUUCAGAUAGAAGCAGUUAAGCAUUUAAAAAAAAUAAACACUGAUAUAAGGAAAACAGUACAGUAUAUUCUGUAGAAUAUAUAUUAUAUAGAAUAUAGAAAAGAAAUUGUCUAUACAGAAAAGAAAUUUAUGGAAGAAGUUUGCAAAACAAUUGCCCUUAAGAUAAAAACACUUGCUGAGAGCCUAUAUUGUGUUAAGUCCUAGAUUCAAAUUAACAUAUAUUUCAUUUUACAAAUGAGGAAACUGACACCUGAAGAGUUUAAAUAACUGGUUCAAACUCACAUAGCUAGUAAACGGCAAAAUGAGAUAUCAACCCAGAUAAUCUGCUUCAUUUGAUUAACCUCUUCUAACUUCACACAAUACAAAAAUUCCCCCACAAUAUCCUUUGAGGGGAAAUUUCUGGGAAAGAAGAGAAUUAACAAAGCACUUUGAUUAAUUUCCCCUAAGUUUUGUGUCAUCCCUGGGAUGCUUCCACAGUACUCUCUGUUGCCAGAACUGUAGUAUUCAGUAUGUGUUCCAUAGGUAAUUUUAUAUUUAUGUAAUUAAACUCUUCAUUUGCUUUUAUGUAAUUAAAGUCUUUAUUCACUGUUUAA
Molecule: long non-coding RNA, 1656 nt
Organism: Artibeus jamaicensis (Jamaican fruit-eating bat)
Lineage: Eukaryota; Metazoa; Chordata; Mammalia; Chiroptera; Phyllostomidae
Exons: 3
Source: RefSeq, a predicted model, not a curated record